UGGGGAAUAUUGCACAAUGGGGGAAACCCUGAUGCAGCGACGCCGCGUGAACGAAGAAGGUAUUCGUAUCGUAAAGUUCUGUCCUAUGGGAAGAUAAUGACAGUACCAUAGAAGAAAGCUCCGGCUAAAUACGUGCCAGCAGCCGCGGUAAUACGUAUGGAGCGAGCGUUGUCCGGAAUUAUUUGGCGUAAAGGGUACGCAGGCGGUUUAAUAAGUCGAAUGUUAAAGAUCGGGGCUCAACCCCGCAAAGCAUUGGAAACUGAUAAACUUGAGUAGUGGAGAGGAAAGUGGAGUUCCUAGUGUAGUGGUGAAAUACGUAGAUAUUAGGAGGAAUACCAGUAGCGAAGGCGACUUUCUGGACACAAACUGACGCUGAGGUACGAAAGCGUGGGGAGCAAACAGG
RNAcentral lists this ribosomal RNA (403 nucleotides) under bacterium. Its description in RNAcentral is "partial 16S ribosomal RNA". It matches the Rfam family "Bacterial small subunit ribosomal RNA", at positions 355 to 776 of the family's 1533-position model. The record is from RNAcentral.